RNAcentral lists this ribosomal RNA (478 nucleotides) under uncultured bacterium. Its description in RNAcentral is "partial 16S ribosomal RNA". It matches the Rfam family "Bacterial small subunit ribosomal RNA", at positions 28 to 523 of the family's 1533-position model. The record is from RNAcentral.
GACGAACGCUGGCGGCGUGCUUAACACAUGCAAGUCGAACGGUAAGGCCCUUUGGGGUACACGAGUGGCGAACGGGUGAGUAACACGUGGGUGAUCUGCCCUGCACUUCGGGAUAAGCCUGGGAAACUGGGUCUAAUACCGGAUAGGACCACUGCCUGCAUGGGUGGUGGUGGAAAGCUUUUGCGGUGUGGGAUGGGCCCGCGGCCUAGCAGCUUGAUGGUGGGGCGAUGGCCUACCAAGGCGACGACGGGUUGCCGGCCUGAGAGGGUGACCGGCCACACUGGGACUGAGAUACGGCCCAGACUCCUACGGGAGGCAGCAGUGGGGAAUAUUGCACAAUGGGCGCAAGCCUGAUGCAGCGACGCCGCGUGAGGGAUGACGGCCUUCGGGUUGUAAACCUCUUUCAGCACCGACGAAGCGCAAGUGACGGUAGGUGCAGAAGAAGGACCGGCCAACUACGUGCCAGCCGCCGCCGUAA